RNAcentral lists this long non-coding RNA (408 nucleotides) under Anolis carolinensis (green anole). Its description in RNAcentral is "lncRNA (ENSACAG00000033472.2)". The record is from RNAcentral. Lineage: Eukaryota; Metazoa; Chordata; Lepidosauria; Squamata; Anolidae.
GAAAAUGCAGUGUUCCAGAUGGCUUCGGCAUCUUACCGCACCCAAACAUUUGCGAGGGCCAGCAUUGUUGGCACAAAACACAGAUGGGAAGGGCAAAGCAGAUGCUUCAGUCUGGACAAAAGAUGUUUUCCUUAUUUUAUUCUCAAAGAAGUGCUUGCAGAAAGCUGUCUGGGUGGUAUAGUACAAAAAGCGAAAAAGCAAGGGCAGGAGCAAAAGAAGAGGCCCACCAGGAGCUUUACAAGACAGAAGCUGCGCUUUCCAUGUCAGCAAAUGUAUUCCCACCUCACCGCGAAGGCUGCUGUUGGGAGACCUUCAGCCUGCCAAGAGUACAGUGAAAUUUGGAGCGUGCCUGCUUUAGGUCAGAAACCUGGGCUGCCACACACCCCCUUCCCAAAAAAGCCUUCCUAA